AUUAUUAAGUGACCAAAAAACAUACAUUACUGUGAUCUCCACUUUCAGAACCCUAGCCACUUGAAACCUUCCUCCCUUACAAUGUAGUUUCAAACAUACUUUUUAAGCCCUAUUAUCUAGUAAAUCAAUUUCUCAGCAGUCAUCUGCAUGUCAAUUUAAGUACAGAAUGACCGCAAUCAUGCGAAGAUUGAUGAAACUCUCCUAGCCCAAAACCAUAUUGAUCCACAAUCAUGAAGUGAGUUAAAAUAUUAAAAUUUGAAAAAUAGCUGUCCUCACUAGAUACAUGACCGAUGGCCACUUUCACCAAAUUAGGUGAAACUUAUGUACGACUAGUUUACCCAACAAUCUACUUCACAGUGCUAUCAAGUGAAUCAAUAUCAUUAAUACUAAGGGGGUGUUUAGUUGGGGGGAGUGGGAGUCUGGAAUCAGAAUCGGAAUGGGUGACUUCCAUUCCAACCGUUUGGUUAGGAAGAGUCCCAUUCCGAUUCCGAUUCCGGGAUGGAAUGAGAAUGACUCAAUCUAUAUAGAACUCAAUUCCUACUCUCCUCUAUGGAUUCAAUUUUUUAUUUCAAUUUCGAUUCCGAUUCCGAUCACGAACCAAAUGUUUUGGAGGAUUUGACCAUUCCGAUUCCUGAUCAUUCCAAUUCUUAUUCCCAUUUUAAUUCCGAUUGCGAACCAAACACCCCCUAAAAGAUUGAAGCCUAGUAGGGUAGAAGUCUCUAAGGCUGCCUUCUUUUCCAAAAUAAAAGCUCUUACAGUAUAUCUUAUAGAGGAAAACUAAGACAAAACCAAGGCACUCGUUGAAGAAAUUCAAGCUAGGAAAACAUACAUGUGGUGCAACUAAAUGAACUCUAUGCUUCAAGAGCACAGGCUCCUUAAAAUUUUAAGUUACAAAAAUCCUUUUAGGUUUAUCUUUAUUAUACUUUCACCCAAUAGUUUGAAACACCUA
This 949-nucleotide long non-coding RNA is filed under the name Elaeis guineensis (African oil palm). RNAcentral's name for it is "long non-coding RNA (EGUI_LNC065952)". Lineage: Eukaryota; Viridiplantae; Streptophyta; Magnoliopsida; Arecales; Arecaceae. The record is from RNAcentral.